AAACAAAGAAAUAAAUUUCCCAAAACAAACCUUUUGUGUUGCCGAGGUCUCUGGGACACCAAGCUUGAUGCAAUAUUACAUAAGAAUGAAAUUAAGGUAAUAGCUUACAUUUUAUUCACUGCCUUUCUUUGAAAAAUCAGAGUCUUCUUAAGUAUAGCACCUCAUUUUCAACCCAAUAACAUUUUUGAUGAGGUAAAGAAAAAUGAGUACUGUUUUAAUUGACCCAUUUUAUAGGUGCAGAAAAUAGAAUGCAGAGAGUGAUUUGACCAAAGUCACAGGGGCCAGCUUUCUUCUGCCACCUGCAUUCCUGGGAUCUGGGAUCCAGAAAUUCCUCAGUACUCUUUCUUUCCUGGGAUUCCUCUAGAGACUUGGGGUCUCCAGGAGACACUUAACUACCAAUUCAGUGUGAUAAUUGAAAGAAUACCCGAUUUAAGGUCAGAAGACUGAGUUGCAUCCCACCUCAGACAAGGGAUAUAGAAGAUUGAGGAAAUCAUUUAAUCUUUCUCAUCCUUAGUUUUGCAGCAGCAGAAGCAGCAGCAACAACAACAAAUUGUUGAAAGGAAAUACCAGUUACCAUUAAGGAAUGUUAUGAGAAAAUGAGCUAAUUUUUGAAAUUCAGAGUUACAUAAACACGAGGUUGCAUGUCAAUCAUUCAUAGAGAAGAAUAAUUAAGUUCAAGAAAUUCCUUCACCUUUCUGGUUACAAGUGUCUUUUUAAAAAUAUUAUUCUUGCAGAACAUUUACC
Molecule: long non-coding RNA, 744 nt
Filed under: Monodelphis domestica (gray short-tailed opossum)
Lineage: Eukaryota; Metazoa; Chordata; Mammalia; Didelphimorphia; Didelphidae
Description: lncRNA (ENSMODG00000047330.1)
Source: RNAcentral